Molecule: long non-coding RNA, 729 nt
Filed under: Homo sapiens (human)
Lineage: Eukaryota; Metazoa; Chordata; Mammalia; Primates; Hominidae
Description: HSALNT0301850
Source: RNAcentral
CUGGUUAGCAUACUACGGUCUCGUUUCAGGGGAAGUCAAGCCUCUCUACUGCUUCUUUUUAUAACCUUUAAGUUAAUUCAGAACCCAGAUAAGCCUUGAUCUGAGGAUGAUAUAACCACCGCAGGCAACAUGGGAACUUCUAGAGAAAACAAGAAGAAGACUUCAAAAAACAUGCUGUGAUGUCUCCCAGUGGAGACAGGGCACGAGGUGCAGGGAAGAGGAGGUGGCCUGAGCCAGGACGAUGAGGAUGCAAUGUUGAAGAAUAAGCUGGAGAAGAGAAGUAACCGGCACUAUGGAAAAAACCAAAACAAAGCAAGGAGAGAAUGAACAUAUGCCGGUGAAUAAUCCUUCCACGCAGAUUUACCAGAACACUUCCUAAGCCCCAGUCUGUUUACUCCAAGCAACAUUUAACCAAAAGAAGAAGAAGAAAGAGGAGAAGUGAAGAAAGAAGAAGAGAAAGAGAAAGGAGGGAAGCUGGGGAGGAGUUAACCAUAAUAGAAUAAAAUCUAUACUAGAAGGGAGGGCACCAGAAGCAAAAUAUAAUAUUUUGGUAAUUCUCUAUCUCAUUUUAUUUUCUGGAUAGAUCUUAUCCCAUCUGACAUUAUCGUAUGUAUCACCUUGUUUGUUUUUUAAUUUUCUGUCUCCUCAUCUAGAAUGUAAGCUCUAAGGGCAGGAAUUUAGUCCAUUUUCCUCUCUGUUGUAUUCUCAGUGUAAAGUACAAUGCCUGGC